AGCGAACGUUAGCGGCGCGCCUAACACAUGCAAGUCGCACGAGAAACGGAGCAAUCCGCGGUACAGUGGCGCACGGGUGAGUAACACGUGGAUGACCUUCCCUGGAGUGGUGGAUAACCUGCCGAAAGGCGGGCUAAUACAGCAUGGGACCACGACGCUUUGGCGAUGUGGUGAAAGCGGGCCUCUAUAUAUAAGCUCGCGCUCCGGGACGGGUCCGCGUCCCAUCAGCUAGUUGGUGAGGUAACGGCUCACCAAGGCUUCGACGGGUAGCUGGUCUGAGAGGAUGGCCAGCCACACUGGAACUGAGACACGGUCCAGACUCCUACGGGAGGCAGCAGUGGGGAAUCUUGCGCAAUGGGCGAAAGCCUGACGCAGCGACGCCGCGUGGGCGAAGAAGGCCUUCGGGUUGUAAAGCCCUGUGGGGGAGAACGAACCGUACGGGGGCGAAUACCCUCCGUGCCUGACGGUACUCCCUUAGCAAGCAUCGGCUAACUCUGUG
Molecule: ribosomal RNA, 499 nt
Filed under: uncultured bacterium
Lineage: Bacteria
Description: bacterial SSU rRNA
Rfam family: Bacterial small subunit ribosomal RNA
Source: RNAcentral